UACGUAUGGUGCAAGCGUUGUCCGGAAUCAUUGGGCGUAAAGAGUUCGUAGGUGGUUUGUUAAGUUAGGUGUUAAAGGCGUGGGCUCAACUCGUGUAUGGCACUUGAUACUGGCAGACUUGAAUGCGGUAGAGGUAAAGGGAAUUCCUGGUGUAGCGGUGAAAUGCGUAGAUAUCAGGAGGAACAUCGGUGGCGUAAGCGCUUUACUGGGCCGUAAUUGACACUGAGGAACGAAAGCCGGGGUAGCAAAU
RNAcentral lists this ribosomal RNA (250 nucleotides) under uncultured prokaryote. RNAcentral's name for it is "partial 16S ribosomal RNA". It matches the Rfam family "Bacterial small subunit ribosomal RNA", at positions 524 to 773 of the family's 1533-position model. The record is from RNAcentral.